AACGAACGCUGGCGGCGCGCCUAAUACAUGCAAGUCGAGCGAGAAGACGUAGCAAUACGUUUGUAAAGCGGCGAACGGGUGAGGAAUACAUGGGUAACCUACCCUCGAGUGGGGAAUAACUAGCCGAAAGGUUAGCUAAUACCGCAUACGACUCUCGGUCUGCGGAUCGAGAGAGAAAGCGAUACCGUGGGUAUCGCGCUCAUGGAUGGGCUCAUGUCCUAUCAGCUUGUUGGUGAGGUAACGGCUCACCAAGGCUUCGACGGGUAGCUGGUCUGAGAGGACGAUCAGCCACACUGGCACUGCGACACGGGCCAGACUCCUACGGGAGGCAGCAGUAAGGAAUAUUGCGCAAUGGGCGACAGCCUGACGCAGCGACGCCGCGUGGGGGAUGAAGGUCUUCGGAUUGUAAACCCCUUUCGGCAGGGAAGAUGGAACGGGCAACCGUUCGGACGGUACCUGCAGAAGCAGCCACGGCUAACUUCGUGCCAGCAGCCGCGGUAAUACGAAGGUGGCAAGCGUUGUUCGGAUUUACUGGGCGUACAGGGAGCGUAGGCGGUCGGGUAAGCCCUCCGUGAAAUCUCCGGGCCUAACCCGGAAAGGGCGGAGGGGACUGCUCGGCUAGAGGAUGGGAGAGGAGCGCGG
Molecule: ribosomal RNA, 642 nt
Filed under: uncultured Nitrospira sp.
Lineage: Bacteria; Pseudomonadati; Nitrospirota; Nitrospiria; Nitrospirales; Nitrospiraceae
Description: bacterial SSU rRNA
Rfam family: Bacterial small subunit ribosomal RNA
Source: RNAcentral